RNAcentral lists this unclassified non-coding RNA (355 nucleotides) under soil metagenome. RNAcentral's name for it is "partial contains 5.8S ribosomal RNA, internal transcribed spacer 2, and large subunit ribosomal RNA". The stretch from base 1 to 120 matches the Rfam family "5.8S ribosomal RNA", at positions 35 to 154 of the family's 154-position model. The record is from RNAcentral.
GAUGAAGAACGUAGCGAAAUGCGAUAGGUAAUGUGAAUCGCAGAAUUCAGUGAAUCAUCGAAUCUUUGAACGCACAUUGCGCCUUCUAGUAUUCUGGGAGGCAUGCCUGUUUGAGCGUCAUUAAACCUCUCUCAAGUAUGAUUACUUGGAUGUGAAGGAAGAGUACCUUAAACUUAAGGAGUGUUCUCCUUUGAAAUUGAUUAGCAGAUGGUAAUGUUAUUAAAUCCCUGAUGUUGUAAGAAAUAACAGUGGUUUUGUAGACUAUUAUCUAGCUUUAAAUUAUAAUUUUUAUUAUGGUUGACCUCAAAUCAGGUAAGGAUACCCGCUGAACUUAAGCAUAUCAAUAAGCGGAGGA